CAACUUGUUGCCUCCCUAAGAAAAUACGGGCAUGCGGCGAUCGUGUAUAGCGUCUAGCCUAUUGGGCUUCACGUUGCGAAGAUAUUGGAUGCUCUUCAUUCGGCCUGCCAUCCCCGUUGUUCCUUUCACUUUUUGUAAAUGGAGAAUGCGCAGUUGAACCGCAAAUGAAAUCCGUUGGUGACACUGCAAAUAUGGGAAAAGUGAACAUAUCGUGUAGCUAUGGCGGACUGGUGGGUGUAUAGCUAAGUCACAUCGGUCAUGUUUGUCGUUUUGAGAGACUCUGUAGGGAACAAUGAACUUCAUAUAGCACAGGUACCCAUCGAUCUCUACGGAUGUGUCUUUGUUUAUUCUGACAGAAACGAUUUUCCCAAUGGCCAACACCACUUUCCGCGCCAGAAGUUGUAACAACUGAAUCCCGAAAAAGUGCUGUCAUGCGUGAACUCUCCAUUUUCAACUGUAUUUCUAGUUCUAACAUUUUUCUUUUGAUUUUGAUUUGUUGUUUGUGCACCUAUCUACAACCUUUCUCUUACUUUUUCCCUAUUUUCAUUAAACAGUGUUGUGAAUAGAUUUGCUAAGCUUUUAGAACAGGCCACAUAUUCUCAUUGUUUUGUAUAACAUCAGCAACAAACGAUUUUGAUGAACCAUCAGAAUUAAUAUGAAACAUUUGAGAAUACAUCAUUAAAUGCAACAAAAAAUCACAGUUUAUUUGUCGCUGGAAACCAUGUGCCGCAUGAGGUUAGUCAUAAAUCUAUCAAUCUUCUUCAAAUCCUGCUGAACCUCUGUUCUGUAUUGUAAACACUAUUUUAAAAAUAUGAAAAAAAUAGACCAUUAGGAUGUAUCUUGUGGAAAAUUGACAGUUUUGAAUUCAUUACCACGGCAUCAUCAGUAAAUUUCAGCACCAAAGCACCAUCGAUAUGUCUAUACUUCAUUGUGUAACGAACCUAUGAAUAAAAGACAAGUAUGCAA
Long non-coding RNA from Daphnia magna, 966 nucleotides. RefSeq lists it as uncharacterized. The record is from RefSeq and is a predicted model, not a curated record. The transcript has 2 exons. Lineage: Eukaryota; Metazoa; Arthropoda; Branchiopoda; Diplostraca; Daphniidae.